GCUGGGCGUGGUGGCGCACGCCUGUAGUCCGAGCUACUUGGGAGGCUGAGGUGGGAGAAUCACUUGAACCCGGGAGGUGGAAGUUGUAGUGAGCGGAGAUCACACCACUGCACUCCAUCCUGGGUGAUAGAGUGAGACCUUGUCUU
This is an unclassified non-coding RNA of Macaca fascicularis (crab-eating macaque), 146 nucleotides long. It matches the Rfam family "Metazoan signal recognition particle RNA". Rfam says of the family: The signal recognition particle (SRP) is a universally conserved ribonucleoprotein. It is involved in the co-translational targeting of proteins to membranes. The record is from Ensembl. Lineage: Eukaryota; Metazoa; Chordata; Mammalia; Primates; Cercopithecidae.